This 311-nucleotide ribosomal RNA is filed under the name uncultured eukaryote. RNAcentral describes it as "partial 18S ribosomal RNA". It matches the Rfam family "Eukaryotic small subunit ribosomal RNA", at positions 1470 to 1796 of the family's 1831-position model. The record is from RNAcentral.
CCCCUAGACGUUCUGGGCUGCACGCGCGCUACAAUAAUACGCACAGCGAGUAUCACCGAGCUCGAAAGGGCAAGGUAAACAAUAGAAAAGGUACUGUAAUGGUUAUAGAUCCUUGUAAUUAUUGAUCUUCAACGAGGAAUUCCUAGUAAGUAUGUGUCAUCAUCACGCACUGAUUACGUCCCUGCCCUUUGUACACACCGCCCUUCGCUCCUACCGAUUGGGUGAGCCGAUGAAACUCUCGGAUGUAGGCUAUUCAUAGCCCGCAGAAGAGAUUUGAAUCGUAGCGCUUAGAGGAAGGAGAAGUCGUAACA